UCGCAGGUGGAGUGGCUGAAACUUCUCAGC
RNAcentral lists this non-coding RNA (30 nucleotides) under Homo sapiens (human). The record is from RNAcentral. Lineage: Eukaryota; Metazoa; Chordata; Mammalia; Primates; Hominidae.